GUUAAAGCGUUGAUUGAGAGUAGUAGCAUUGAUUGGAUAUCACAGAGAGCCUGGUUGGGUGGGAAAAGGCAUGGAUAAUCAUUGUGAAUGGACUCAUGAGUGUGGCCCGAAAUGUAGGAGCCAACGGGAAAUCUCCCCCGUUAUCAAAGAGACAUGUAUGAUGGUACAUGAAAUAAGUGGGUAACUUUUUACCAAUUUAGGUGGCACCGCAGGAGAUAUGGUCUCUUGUCCUAUGC
This 236-nucleotide non-coding RNA is filed under the name Clostridiales bacterium. RNAcentral's name for it is "T-box sequence". It matches the Rfam family "T-box leader". Rfam says of the family: Uncharged tRNA acts as the effector for transcription antitermination of genes in the T-box leader family. T-boxes are found upstream of many aminoacyl-tRNA synthetase genes and some amino acid biosynthetic genes usually in Gram-positive bacteria. Lineage: Bacteria; Bacillati; Bacillota; Clostridia; Eubacteriales. The record is from RNAcentral.